UGCCUCUAUUAAAGUGUGUGUUCCUUUCUCCCUUCCCCUGCUCCAUGCUGGGAUUUUAGGGCCAAGUCCUGAUCUCUGGGUACAAAGCUGGUUUCCUUGCUCCUGCUAUGAUUUGGUUCCACCCACAAGACAAUGGGCCUACUUUUUUCUAGAGUCAAAGGCCCUUUGUGUUCGGGCCCAGGAGUUUCACCUGAACUUGUGCCAAAGCUCAAGACUUCCUGUUCUGUCCCUUCCAGGUCAUCUUGGAAUCUGCAGGCUUGUGGGUGGCAUAGGGGUCCUAAGUUGUGACCAUGGAAAUGGGAAGCUUUUGGGGACCCCAGACAGUUGUGCUCAGGAAAGUCUUCUAGGCCUGUUGGCAGAAGAAGCAGAUUUGUGGGCUAGGACAUCUGGGUCCUGGUGCUGGUGACUGAGCUCUGACCUUGAAUGAGGAGACUUAUUUCUCUAGGCCUUAGUUUUGCCUGCCGCACAAUGGGGAGAUUUGACUAGAGGAACUCAAGCCCUACAGCUUGAAUGCCCUGGCCGUGCAUUGUCUUUCCUCUUCCUCACUGAAGUCUGUAUCAUCCCUUCAGAGCCCAAGGAUCCACCACAAAGAUACAAUAAAUUUGGUUAAAGUCUGUAUGAGACGGGACCAACUGCCAGGCAAAGAAUCUGAGGCCCAGAGACAUUACAAAUAGCUUGCCCGAAGUGUCACAGUGGGGAUUCAGGAGCAGGAACUCCAGCGCAGGUGGUCUGGCUCUGGAACAGGUGCUCUCAGGCCCUGUCCAGACUUGGAGUAUUUUGAAGCAUAUCCCAGACUUCAAAUCAUUUUAUCUGUAAAUAUUUCAGUUGUGUUACUAAAAUAUCGGGGCUCUGUAUAAAACAUAACCACAAUGCCAUUGUCACACUAAAAAUUAAUACUUCCUCAAUAUCAUAAAAUAUUUAAUGUUUAAAUUUCUGCAAUUGUCUC
RNAcentral lists this long non-coding RNA (946 nucleotides) under Equus caballus (horse). Its description in RNAcentral is "lncRNA (ENSECAG00000048817.1)". Lineage: Eukaryota; Metazoa; Chordata; Mammalia; Perissodactyla; Equidae. The record is from RNAcentral.